This 421-nucleotide ribosomal RNA is filed under the name Triticum aestivum (bread wheat). RNAcentral describes it as "partial small subunit ribosomal RNA". Lineage: Eukaryota; Viridiplantae; Streptophyta; Magnoliopsida; Poales; Poaceae. The record is from RNAcentral.
CUCUUUCCUCCUCCCUUGCUCGUCCCCUUUCCUUUUCUUCGUCCCCGAGCUUGAGGUCGCCGCACCACCGUCGUCCAUGCGCUCCGAAGCCUCCCCUCGUCACGCCAAGAUGUCCAGGCGCUCCCUCGUCGUCGACUCCUUCGCCUACUCGCAUCGGUUCGAGUAGGCGCGCACCAGGGGCUCGCCAUCGCCGCCAUCUUCGUCCAAGGCCGCCACAUCUCGCCGCCGAGCCCGUUGCAUUCCGGCUGCCCCGCCCCUCCUAACCAUGUCUACAAGAUCCUGGACACCGAGACCGACGCCGCUGCUACCCGCUGCUACCCAGUACGACCACGGUGUUGACGACCCCUCUCUCUUGCCAGAGCAACCAGGUGGAAUAGAAUGGUGGUUGUGGAGAAGACAAAAAGGGAGAAGAUAGUCUCAC